RNAcentral lists this ribosomal RNA (485 nucleotides) under uncultured bacterium. RNAcentral's name for it is "bacterial SSU rRNA". It matches the Rfam family "Bacterial small subunit ribosomal RNA", at positions 30 to 507 of the family's 1533-position model. The record is from RNAcentral.
AUUGAACGCUGGCGGCAUGCCUUACACAUGGCAAGUCGAACGGCAGCACGGGAGCAAUCCUGGUGGCGAGUGGCGAACGGGUGAGUAAUAUAUCGGAACGUGCCCAGUCGUGGGGGAUAACGUAGCGAAAGCUACGCUAAUACCGCAUACGAUCUAUGGAUGAAAGCGGGGGAUCGCAAGACCUCGCGCGAUUGGAGCGGCCGAUAUCAGAUUAGGUAGUUGGUGAGGUAAAGGCUCACCAAGCCGACGAUCUGUAGCUGGUCUGAGAGGACGACCAGCCACACUGGGACUGAGACACGGCCCAGACUCCUACGGGAGGCAGCAGUGGGGAAUUUUGGACAAUGGGCGCAAGCCUGAUCCAGCAAUGCCGCGUGCAGGAUGAAGGCCUUCGGGUUGUAAACUGCUUUUGUACGGAACGAAACGGUGAGCUCUAAUACAGUUUGCUAAUGACGGUACCGUAAGAAUAAGCACCGGCUAACUACGUG